AUACGGAGGAUCCGAGCGUUAUCCGGAUUUAUUGGGUUUAAAGGGAGCGUAGGUUGACGUAUAAGUCAGCUGUGAAAGUUUACGGCUCAACCGUGAAAUUGCAGUUGAUACUGUAUGUCUUGAGUGUACAAGAGGUGGGCGGAAUUCGUGGUGUAGCGGUGAAAUGCUUAGAUAUCACGCAGAACCCCGAUCGCGAAGGCAGCCUGCCAGGCCGUGACUGACACUGAUGCACGAAAGCGUGGGUAUC
Molecule: ribosomal RNA, 247 nt
Filed under: uncultured bacterium
Lineage: Bacteria
Description: partial 16S ribosomal RNA
Rfam family: Bacterial small subunit ribosomal RNA
Source: RNAcentral